RNAcentral lists this ribosomal RNA (500 nucleotides) under uncultured Glomeromycotina. RNAcentral describes it as "partial small subunit ribosomal RNA". It matches the Rfam family "Eukaryotic small subunit ribosomal RNA", at positions 591 to 1092 of the family's 1831-position model. The record is from RNAcentral. Lineage: Eukaryota; Fungi; Glomeromycota.
CCAAUAGCGUAUAUUAAAGUUGUUGCAGUUAAAAAGCUCGUAGUUGAACCUUAGGCCCGUGCGGGCGGUCCGUCCUCUGGGCGAGCACUGCUCCGUCGCGGGUCUCACCUUCUGGCGAGCGUCGAUGCCAUUCGUUUGGUGUCGGCGGGAAACAGGACCUUUACCUUGAAAAAAUUAGAGUGCUCAAAGCGGGCUCCGACGCUUGAAUACAUUAGCAUGGAAUAAUGAAAUAGGACGAGGGUUCUAUUUUGUUGGUUUCCGGGACCGUCGUAAUGAUUAAUAGGGAUAGUUGGGGGCAUUCGUAUUCAAUUGUCAGAGGUGAAAUUCUUGGAUUUAUUGAAGACGGACUACUGCGAAAGCAUUUGCCAAGGAUGUUUUCAUUAAUCAAGAACGAAAGUUGGGGGACCGAAGACGAUCAGAUACCGUCGUAGUCUCAACCAUAAACUAUGCCGACUGGGAAUCGGGCGAUGUUAUUUAUGUGACUCGCUCGGCGCCCCGAG